CACAGUGCGCUUGCAGGCUGUCCCUAAUUUUCCAUGAAUUUUCCUCGGGGAACUGAAACGCACUACUGGUACCUGCACGUGUUCCAAAAAAAACCCAAAUUAGGCCCAGGGCCUCUUUCGGCCCAAAUCGCAACUCCGGCACGGCGGCUACGCCGUGCUCCGGCGGCGGCGAGUCACCUCGGGUUGGCCGUUUUUGGCCGAAUUCGACCACACUCGCAUCAGUCCCUGUGAGAAAACAACCCUAGGACCCUCGGGGGGCCAAAAAAUCACGGAAAAAUGGAGCUUACCGGCGGCGGCGCUCUCGGGUGCGGCGGCUCUCCGGCGAGGUUCGUGUUUUGGUGAUUCGGCUUCGGUCAACCUGUAGAGAAAAGAAUGGUGAUCACGGUGAUAUAAAAAUUGCAUCAAACGGAGGCCGGGAAGGG
This 422-nucleotide long non-coding RNA is filed under the name Carica papaya (papaya). RNAcentral describes it as "long non-coding RNA (CPAP_LNC012246)". Lineage: Eukaryota; Viridiplantae; Streptophyta; Magnoliopsida; Brassicales; Caricaceae. The record is from RNAcentral.